GGCCUUGUGGCCUAAUGGCUAUGGCGCCAGAUUUCGGCCUUCCAACGGUCAUCACUCUGGAGAUUCGGGGUUCGAGUCCUCGCAGGGUCG
This 90-nucleotide transfer RNA is filed under the name Biscogniauxia mediterranea. RNAcentral describes it as "tRNA-Arg". It matches the Rfam family "tRNA". From Rfam's summary of the family: Transfer RNA (tRNA) molecules are approximately 80 nucleotides in length. Their secondary structure includes four short double-helical elements and three loops (D, anti-codon, and T loops). The record is from RNAcentral. Lineage: Eukaryota; Fungi; Ascomycota; Sordariomycetes; Xylariales; Xylariaceae.